AUGAGAAAUGCGGGAGAGACCGUGAAGGCGCCGAAGGAGUAAGUUAUAUACCUUGUGUGCCGGUAUAUAAUGAAGCUCUCAGGCAAAAGGACCGUAUUUCGACA
RNAcentral lists this non-coding RNA (104 nucleotides) under Caloranaerobacter azorensis. RNAcentral's name for it is "Glycine sequence". It matches the Rfam family "Glycine riboswitch aptamer". From Rfam's summary of the family: This family represents the bacterial glycine riboswitch. The record is from RNAcentral. Lineage: Bacteria; Bacillati; Bacillota; Tissierellia; Tissierellales; Thermohalobacteraceae.